CUCCAUAUAAACUUUAUUAAUUCAAGUAAUUUUAAAAAGUAUUUUAACACCAGAUAUGCACAUUAUGUACUUCAUAUGUGCUUUUACAAUGUCCAAAAAAAUUUUUUUAAUUCAUAUACAUGAAAUCAGUAGAAUAAAAAACAAGUAUGAAGUUAUUUACUUCAGCAGGUAAUUUUCCCAUCAGCAUAUAAUCCAUAAACUCUUCAUUUUCAUAGGAUAACUAAAACAAGGUAUUGAUGGACUCUCACAUCAGUUAAGAAGACCAACUAAAAGGAAACAUUCAGAGUAAAUAAAUUUUAUUUAUUUGAUAAUGAGUCAGAAUGUCUAAGGUAGAAAAGAAUCCGAAACUUGCAUUAUUUGAAUUACUCAUAUUAGUUACAUAACUCGGGAUCAUAAACAGAGUUGAGUCUGAGAUCUAUUGAGACCCUCAUAUCAAUUCUGUGCAACUCCAGUUGCAAUUCUGUGCAACUAAGUCUCUUAUCCAAGUCUGAACAAGAACUAAAGAGCUCUUGUUCUUCCAAGAAGCAUGGUUGCUUAUCUUUUGCCAAGAAAAGGUCAAAGAAAGUAGAAAAGAAGUGUGGGAGGUGGAGGACUUGUGUACAUACACUCUUGGCAGAUAACCGGGACACCUAUUUUACUAAGCAAAAUAUGUACUUCCCAUUUGCCUCAGAUCGUCUAUUUUCCAUUCAUUCUUCCUGUCUUCCAUUCUAAGGUUGAUCUCAUCCUUUCCCAGUUAAGUUCUGAGACCUUAAUUCAUAAACCAUCUCUGUUUUCAGUCUUCCCCCUCUUUCCCUCCACCAGUUCCUCCCCACAUAUCAAAGCACCAACUUUCUUCUGUCUUGGGAAGAAAAGAGUCCUUCAUGAGUCCUGUUCCUGAAGAGCCCAGUGAUAUGCCCUAACUCCUUACCUUUACCAUCAACCUUCAUAAAAGAUUUUACCUAGUGCCACAAUUCUAUUUUCCCUUUCAUGGCAUAAUUCCCUGAGAUCUGAGUUUUCUCAGACUCAUCUCUUUAUACUACUUAUAAACAUACAUGCUUCUCCCAAUCUCCUGCACUUCAUCUUCACACUUCUUUUGAUCAGUUCUUCUCAGUCUCCUUCCCUGGAACCUCUUAUAAUGUCUACCUCUAAAAUAGAAGGUAGAAGAUGUACUCAACAGUUUAAUCUUCAUCUUGUUCGUACUUGACAUACUUCUCUUUGAGGAUUUCUUCUAUUAUUUCUGCCCUUUAUUGACUUACAAAAACUCUAUUAAGGGCCAACCAUGUGACAGGUGCUUUCCCUGUAGCUUGUGAUUCAGCGAUCAACAGGACUGACAAGAUACCAUUAUCAUGAGUUGAUAUUCUAGUGUACAUGUAUAUUAGAGGGGAAGGGUGGGCAAUGACCAAUACUAAACUAAUUAAAAGGUAAAUAAAUGAGAAAGUUAUCAAAAUACAGUGGCAAAAAAUUUGUAAUUGAGCCUUGUCAGAUAAAGGAUCUGAGCUUAGCCUUCCCAAGUUGGCACAGGUUAGUCCCAGAGUAUCUAGCUAGGGAGAUUGCCAGCUAAGGAUCAUGGCUCAUAGUGGGCCAACCUGAGCUGAAAUGACUCCAACUCACAGCCAGAUUUCAGAGGGGUCUCUAACAGCAGAGGCCUUGUCAGUCAGGAAACAUCACUAGUUUCUGACAAAAUUGCAGGAGAGGAGUCCAAACGCUGGCAGGGAGAGUAACCACCAACAAAGGACAUCACCAGAGUGACCAGAGGAACCUUGAGACAAUAUGGGAAUCUGAGAGCCCUGCCUUUUUCAAGCCAUAAAAUCACAGAAGCCGGCCCUCCACCACAAACUCAGAUGCCAUCUUAGAGAAGCUGAGACUCUCAUCAGUUAAUACUAAGACACUAAACACUACUGACUGAAAAGAAAUGUUUAAAUUCUUAUAUGAGCUUAAGUUUUAAACCUGAUUGACCAAUUUCCUUGUAUUUUCUGCUGCUGGUAUUUGUUUUUUCCCUUGCAUUCCCAAUCCCACAAUAACCAGCAAAUUGAGGAUUCUAGAAGGUGAAUUAGAGUAGUGAUAGCAAAUAAAAUUUCCCCUGCAAUUCUGGGUUGUGACAUGGCUCUGUGUUUUUCUCUAAUUCUAACCUCCUUCUUGAGUUCCACAUCAGGGUUUCUAAAACAAAAUGUAUCUGUCCCAUAUACAGACCAACUUUUUCCUAAAUCCCUUGCCUCAAAAUGAACUGCUGAUUUUCCCAAUCAAUCAGAUUGAAAACUUUGGAGUCUCCCAAAUGUCACAAGCCAAACCUGAGAAACUGCUCAGAUAUAUUUAUUUAUAUUCUCACUGCCACUCUGCUGGCUCAGGGCCUCUUUCAUUUCACCUAAAAGAUUACAAAGUCUCUUCACUGGUUUUCCUGGCAACAGGUCAUGAGCAUAGCUCUGUGGAAGUGGACAAAAGUAGGAGGAUCCCUGUAUCAUAUGUUAAUAUCCAUCAGAGAAAAUCUCAUGAAAGAGGCAAAAAACAACCAUGUAUACAGAAUACUAACCAGCUGACAUCAUCCAACUUCUGCCAUUGACCACUUUAGUGCUGGCAUAAUGAACAAGGUAGCCAUGGUGGCAGAACAGAGGCUAUAUAUGGGCCCAAGAGUAUGGGCUCCCUCUCACCAAAGUUGACUUAGCCAACUGCUACAACAGAUUAUCCAAUCUCCCAGUAACAGAGACCAAGGCCAAGCCCCAAAUAUGGCAUAUUCGCUCAAGAGAUCAACCAGACAGUGUAAACUUGUUACACUGGACCCUUUCCACUUUCAAAGGGACAGUGAUUCACGCUGACUAGAAUCAACACAUAUUACAGGCAUGGAUUUGCCUUUCCUCACCACAAGGCAAUAACCAGUACCUAUCUGAGACCUAACAAUGUUUCUGGUUCACUUUAUAUCUUACAUAACAUUAAGAGACCAAAGACUCCUCUUUAUAGCAAAGGAGCUAUGAGCACAGACCAUUGAGUCCACUGGUCCUAUCACAUACCACAACAUUCAGAGGCUGCCAGUCUGAGAGCAAUGGAAGAGCAUUCUGAAGGCAUAGUUAAGGUACCCCCUUGGAGAUGAUACCAUAUUAAGAUAGGACACCCUCCAGGAUGCAGUUAUACCCUAAAUCAUAACCAUUACGAUAAUGCAUCUGUAAUAAGUAACAUACAUACAGGCAGGAAACAAAGGGGAGAGAGCAGAAAUGGCCUCAAUUGCCAUCCUUACCAAUGACCCAUUUAGAAAUUUAUUAUUUCCCUUCCCUGCAAUGCUAGGUUCUAUGAAUCUAGAGGUCUUAUUCUCACCAAGUAACACAGCCCAUUAAACUUUUAGUUACAACUGCUACCUGGUCAUUUCAAGUACUCUGGGCCAAGAAACCAGAGGGGAGGGAAAGGAGUCACCAAUCUGGCAGGAUUAAUUGACCUUGGUCAUCAGGAAAACAUAGGGCUUCUGUCACACAAGUGCAGGGAAGAAUAUUUUUUAUCACUCACAUGACAAACAUGUUUGCCAUGUUAAGGGCAUAUAUGAAAGGUAUCUAUCUCUUCAUACUCCUUUGCCCAGUUCUGACAACAAACAGACAAAUGCAAGAGCCAUAGCUCAGAGAUUAUGGUGAGCAAGGGAACUGGGCCUCAGAACCUCCCAGGUAUGAAGGACUCAAUGACCUCAAGUAAUCUGCCCAGACCAGCAGAGGUGUCAGCCACGGGUAAGAGGAAAUCUAGAACUGGUAGCAGAGGAAUAUAAUGAAUAUUAGUUUUGACCUCAAGCUGUAGUGAAAAAGACUGAGGUAAGUCCUCCUUACCUUCCUCUUAUAUUUCUAGAAAGAGACCAACCAUAAUCCUAGAGGAGCUAUCGCCAGAUGGCGUGAACUUAUUAAAUGAAGCAAAUGGAGGAUAGUAAGGAUUGUUGGAAUGCACUGCUCGGGACUUUAUUCAGGACCAAGGCAUUCAUUCUCAGGUGAAAGAAAGCUGUACAAGGCAGCUCACAACUGGCAUCUCUCCAGAAAGUGCCCUCAAUUAAAGAGAGCUUCCUCUCCCAAGGAUAUGCCUGCCCCCUUUCCAGGGAAAGUCCAAAUCAAAUGACUAAACCAUGAGGGGAACAAGGGCCAGCCUGCUUGCCUCAAUUCAGGACAACUCUGAAGACACAUGUCAGGUCCAGAAGUCACAACAAGGAAAAUUAACUGAAUCAGAGUUCAACUUCUCCCUCUUCCAAUCCUGCUUUGUUCACCCACCUUAUAAGUGUUUUUUCCAAUUAAUCUCCUUUACACACUACACUCUCUGCCCUUUUGAAAUGUCUCUAUUCAUCUUAGCGCAUUUCCUUGCUUUCUUUCAUGUUAAAACAAUGCAAGCUCACCUUCUAUUUUUCCUGCCCUAGAGUCAGCCAUUUCUAAAUAACCACUAUUCCUGAAUUAGAAGAGAUACACUGCAAGAGAAAUUGAUGACUCUAGGUAAAAGUCGAAUUUUUAUUUUGAAAAUUUUCAAGUUGGAAGGUCAAGAAAAAAAAAUAUUUCUUUAGAACCUACCGUAAGCAUUUUCCUUUAGUCCUCCUUUAUCCAGUGAGACUGGACCAUGUGUAUACUGCCAAGUUCAUUGCUAACCACUAUUUCUCCUAUUUUUUAUCUCCCCAUAUCCUAGUCACUGCUGAAACCCUUUUGUUGGUUAGCAUAUUUUCUCAAGACAUCCCUAAUCUCUGACUCCCCAAAUAUCUAUAAAUAUCUCUCUCUUUGAAAGUGACUGAUAGCCUAGCCUAGUACAGGAUUCACAGGGUGUAAUUCUCUCACUAGCCCUUUGACAUUAUCCUACCAUCUUCUAGUCUCCAAAGUUGGACACAGGAAAUUCAAUCUCAGCCUGGUGUUUUUUUUUUUUUUUUUUUGUUUUUUUUUUUUUUUCCUUCACAACUUAUUUUUUUCUAUCUAGAAUCCAGCAAGAUUUUGUUAUCCUUGAAUUUUAAAAGCUUUAUAGGGUAUGCCUAUUAACAGCUUUUCUCACUAAUGCUAACUGAAACAGGUUGGGUGAGGGAAUGGGGUAACCUGCAAAAUGCAGACUUAGGUCUUUCUUCUAAUAUGAGUUCUUAAUAUUUUC
This 5055-nucleotide long non-coding RNA is filed under the name Sus scrofa (pig). Its description in RNAcentral is "lncRNA (ENSSSCG00000054354.1)". The record is from RNAcentral. Lineage: Eukaryota; Metazoa; Chordata; Mammalia; Artiodactyla; Suidae.